AUUGAACGCUGGCGGCAGGCCUAACACAUGCAAGUCGAACGAGGGGCGGGCGGGAGAGUAGUGUCUGGGAAACUGCCUGGUGGAGGGAGAUCUAUACUGGAAACGAUCUCCAAUAGCAUAAACCAGCGGAUGUGCCCAGCUGGGAUUAGCUAGGAGGUGGGGUAAAGUAUCACCGAGGCGACGAUCCCUAGCUGUUCUGAGAGGAUGACCAGCCACACUGGAACUGAGACACGGUCCCGACUCCUACGGGAGGCAGCAGUGGGGAAUAUUGCACAAUGGGCGCAAGCCUGAUGCAGCCAUGCCGCGUGUAUGAAGAAGGCCUUCGGGUUGUAAAGUACUUUCAGCGAGGAGGCGUUACCCGCAGAAGAAGCACCGGCUAACUCCGUGCCAGCAGCCGCGGUAAUAC
This 406-nucleotide ribosomal RNA is filed under the name uncultured bacterium. RNAcentral's name for it is "partial 16S ribosomal RNA". It matches the Rfam family "Bacterial small subunit ribosomal RNA", at positions 30 to 526 of the family's 1533-position model. The record is from RNAcentral.